UUAAGCAGCCAUGUCACCCUGCAACUUACAAUUGGCAGCCAACUGAAGCUAAGCAGGUGUGAGCCUGGUCAGUACCUGGAUGAGAGACCUCCUUAGAAACUAAGUUGCUGCCGGAA
This 116-nucleotide ribosomal RNA is filed under the name Lepisosteus oculatus (spotted gar). Lineage: Eukaryota; Metazoa; Chordata; Actinopteri; Semionotiformes; Lepisosteidae. The record is from RNAcentral.